This 305-nucleotide ribosomal RNA is filed under the name uncultured bacterium. Its description in RNAcentral is "bacterial SSU rRNA". It matches the Rfam family "Bacterial small subunit ribosomal RNA", at positions 333 to 636 of the family's 1533-position model. The record is from RNAcentral.
AGUGCCCUACGGGGCGUAGCAGUGAGGAAUAUUGGUCAAUGGGCGAGAGCCUGAACCAGCCAAGUCGCGUGAGGGAAGACGGUCCUAUGGAUUGUAAACCUCUUUUGCCGGGGAGCAAAAAGCGGUACGUGUACCGCAUCGAGAGUACCCGGAGAAAAAGCAUCGGCUAACUCCGUGCCAGCAGCCGCGGUAAUACGGAGGAUGCGAGCGUUAUCCGGAUUUAUUGGGUUUAAAGGGUGCGUAGGCUGAAUGUCAAGUCAGCGGUAAAAAUUCCGGGCUCAACCCGGUCGUGCCGUUGAAACUGG